RNAcentral lists this ribosomal RNA (460 nucleotides) under uncultured bacterium. RNAcentral's name for it is "partial 16S ribosomal RNA". It matches the Rfam family "Bacterial small subunit ribosomal RNA", at positions 338 to 795 of the family's 1533-position model. The record is from RNAcentral.
CCUACGGGAGGCAGCAGUGAGGAAUAUUGGUCAAUGGACGAGAGUCUGAACCAGCCAAGUAGCGUGAAGGAUGACUGCCCUAUGGGUUGUAAACUUCUUUUAUAUGGGAAUAAAACGUUCCACGUGUGGGAUUUUGUAUGUACCAUAUGAAUAAGGAUCGGCUAACUCCGUGCCAGCAGCCGCGGUAAUACGGAGGAUCCGAGCGUUAUCCGGAUUUAUUGGGUUUAAAGGGAGCGUAGGUGGAUUGUUAAGUCAGUUGUGAAAGUUUGCGGCUCAACCGUAAGAUUGCAGUUGAAACUGGCAGUCUUGAGUACAGUAGAGGUGGGCGGAAUUCGUGGUGUAGCGGUGAAAUGCUUAGAUAUCACGAAGAACUCCGAUUGCGAAGGCAGUUCACUGGACUGCAACUGACACUGAGGCUCGAAAGUGUGGGUAUCAAACAGGAUUAGAUACCCGAGUAGUC